CCUACGGGUGGCUGCAGUGGGGAAUAUUGCACAAUGGGCGCAAGCCUGAUGCAGCCAUGCCGCGUGUGUGAAGAAGGCCUUCGGGUUGUAAAGCACUUUCAGCGGCGAGGAAGGCGGUGAGGUUAAUAACCUCAUCGAUUGACGUUACCCGCAGAAGAAGCACCGGCUAACUCCGUGCCAGCAGCCGCGGUAAUACGGAGGGUGCAAGCGUUAAUCGGAAUUACUGGGCGUAAAGCGCACGCAGGCGGUCUGUCAAGUCGGAUGUGAAAUCCCCGGGCUCAACCUGGGAACUGCAUUCGAAACUGGCAGGCUAGAGUCUUGUAGAGGGGGGUAGAAUUCCAGGUGUAGCGGUGAAAUGCGUAGAGAUCUGGAGGAAUACCGUUGGCGAAGGCGGCCCCCUGGACAAAGACUGACGCUCAGGUGCGAAAGCGUGGGGAGCAAACAGGAUUAGGUACCCUGGUAGUC
This 465-nucleotide ribosomal RNA is filed under the name uncultured Klebsiella sp. RNAcentral's name for it is "bacterial SSU rRNA". It matches the Rfam family "Bacterial small subunit ribosomal RNA", at positions 338 to 795 of the family's 1533-position model. The record is from RNAcentral. Lineage: Bacteria; Pseudomonadati; Pseudomonadota; Gammaproteobacteria; Enterobacterales; Enterobacteriaceae.